This 1346-nucleotide ribosomal RNA is filed under the name uncultured bacterium. RNAcentral's name for it is "bacterial SSU rRNA". It matches the Rfam family "Bacterial small subunit ribosomal RNA", at positions 28 to 1381 of the family's 1533-position model. The record is from RNAcentral.
GACGAACGCUGGCGGCGUGCUUAACACAUGCAAGUCGAACGGAAAGGCCCUGCUUUUGUGGGGUGCUCGAGUGGCGAACGGGUGAGUAACACGUGAGUAACCUGCCCUUGACUUUGGGAUAACCUCAGGAAACUGGGGCUAAUACCGGAUAGGAGCUCCUGCUGCAUGGUGGGGGUUGGAAAGUUUCGGCGGUUGGGGAUGGACUCGCGGCUUAUCAGCUUGUUGGUGGGGUAGUGGCUUACCAAGGCUUUGACGGGUAGCCGGCCUGAGAGGGUGACCGGCCACAUUGGGACUGAGAUACGGCCCAGACUCCUACGGGAGGCAGCAGUGGGGAAUAUUGCACAAUGGGCGGAAGCCUGAUGCAGCAACGCCGCGUGCGGGAUGACGGCCUUCGGGUUGUAAACCGCUUUCGCCUGUGACGAAGCGUGAGUGACGGUAAUGGGUAAAGAAGCACCGGCUAACUACGUGCCAGCAGCCGCGGUGAUACGUAGGGUGCGAGCGUUGUCCGGAUUUAUUGGGCGUAAAGGGCUCGUAGGUGGUUGAUCGCGUCGGAAGUGUAAUCUUGGGGCUUAACCCUGAGCGUGCUUUCGAUACGGGUUGACUUGAGGAAGGUAGGGGAGAAUGGAAUUCCUGGUGGAGCGGUGGAAUGCGCAGAUAUCAGGAGGAACACCAGUGGCGAAGGCGGUUCUCUGGGCCUUUCCUGACGCUGAGGAGCGAAAGCGUGGGGAGCGAACAGGCUUAGAUACCCUGGUAGUCCACACUGUAAACGGUGGGUACUAGGUGUGGGGUCCAUUCCACGGGUUCCGUGCCGUAGCUAACGCUUUAAGUACCCCGCCUGGGGAGUACGGCCGCAAGGCUAAAACUCAAAGGAAUUGACGGGGCCCCGCACAAGCGGCGGAGCAUGCGGAUUAAUUCGAUGCAACGCGUAGAACCUUACCUGGGUUUGACAUGGAUCGGGAGUGCUCAGAGAUGGGUGUGCCUCUUUUGGGGUCGGUUCACAGGUGGUGCAUGGCUGUCGUCAGCUCGUGUCGUGAGAUGUUGGGUUAAGUCCCGCAACGAGCGCAACCCUUGUUCACUGUUGCCAGCACGUUAUGGUGGGGACUCAGUGGAGACCGCCGGGGUCAACUCGGAGGAAGGUGGGGAUGACGUCAAGUCAUCAUGCCCCUUAUGUCCAGGGCUUCACGCAUGCUACAAUGGCUGGUACAGAGAGUGGCGAGCCUGUGAGGGUGAGCGAAUCUCGGAAAGCCGGUCUCAGUUCGGAUUGGGGUCUGCAACUCGACCCCAUGAAGUCGGAGUCGCUAGUAAUCGCAGAUCAGCAACGCUGCGGUGAAUACGUUCCCGGGGCU